GCGGGAGUGGUGGAAUUGGUAGACACGCUGGAUUUAGGUUCCAGUGUCGCAAGACGUGAGAGUUCGAGUCUCUCCUUCCGCA
Molecule: transfer RNA, 82 nt
Filed under: Candidatus Pseudothioglobus singularis PS1
Lineage: Bacteria; Pseudomonadati; Pseudomonadota; Gammaproteobacteria; Pseudothioglobaceae (SeqCode)
Also listed under: 2 other names
Description: Candidatus Thioglobus singularis PS1 tRNA
Rfam family: tRNA
About the family: Transfer RNA (tRNA) molecules are approximately 80 nucleotides in length. Their secondary structure includes four short double-helical elements and three loops (D, anti-codon, and T loops). Further hydrogen bonds mediate the characteristic L-shaped molecular structure. tRNAs have two regions of fundamental functional importance: the anti-codon, which is responsible for specific mRNA codon recognition, and the 3' end, to which the tRNAs corresponding amino acid is attached (by aminoacyl-tRNA synthetases). tRNAs cope with the degeneracy of the genetic code in two manners: having more than one tRNA (with a specific anti-codon) for a particular amino acid; and 'wobble' base-pairing, i.e. permitting non-standard base-pairing at the 3rd anti-codon position.
Source: Rfam by way of RNAcentral